ACGAAAGAUAUAGUUACUUGUACGCUAAUUUAACAGUUAUAGAAAAAAGUGCCACACGCAACUACAAUUUCACAGCGCUUUGGGAUGUAGUUCACUUUGGCAAAUAGUAGGGUACAUGACCUUACUUCGUAUAGGUCUUAUCAUUAAUGAUAUCGAAGUGUCAGUAUGUACGGCAAACUAAAGUACAUAAAUUAAGGCAACACAAUACAUGUGACAAAGUCACCAACAUACGUAUUAGUGUGUGAAUAUGCUACAGUCAUCUGUGGAACUGAGCCUACUGGAAAGUAUUUACAGUGAAGAUGUGGCAUUUGACAGGGAGCCAGAUAAUCUCAGAUACAUGACUAAGAUAGUUCCUCGUCUGAAACUUGGCCAUGGACUGACUGUCUCGUGACCAAAAAUCGGGCCCAUAUAUAUCCUCACAAUAAUAGGUGCUGAAACUACACAUUGUUCAAAGUUUAAUUUACAGAAAUUACAAUUUAAACUUAACUCAUUAAAUUAACUGAA
This is a long non-coding RNA of Schistocerca serialis cubense, 504 nucleotides long. RefSeq lists it as uncharacterized. The transcript is spliced from 3 exons. Lineage: Eukaryota; Metazoa; Arthropoda; Insecta; Orthoptera; Acrididae. The record is from RefSeq and is a predicted model, not a curated record.